UAAAUCAUGCAGUAAAAGACUAUGUAGAUGGAUAUUCAGUGAU
RNAcentral lists this non-coding RNA (43 nucleotides) under Trypanosoma brucei brucei. Lineage: Eukaryota; Euglenozoa; Kinetoplastea; Trypanosomatida; Trypanosomatidae. The record is from RNAcentral.